Molecule: ribosomal RNA, 966 nt
Filed under: Triticum aestivum (bread wheat)
Lineage: Eukaryota; Viridiplantae; Streptophyta; Magnoliopsida; Poales; Poaceae
Description: partial small subunit ribosomal RNA
Source: RNAcentral
UGUAAGACUCAUUCCCCUAGCAUUGUUUUUCUUUGUGAAACUAGACAGUCAAAAAAUAAAAUGAAGAGGUAUCGCUCUCGUUUAGGUUUAAGUGGUUUUGAGGCCUCAGGUAGUGAUGGUCUUAGUGGUGGCUUGGCUUUGUACUGGCAUGAGUCUAUGAGUCUUGAUGUAAAAACUAUCAAUAAAAGAUAUAUUGAUGUGUACGUGAUGACGGCGCCGGGAGAGCCACCCUGGCGGCUCACCUGUGUCUAUGGCGAGCCGCGAACGGAGGACCGGCAUCGCAUGUGGUCCAUCCUGUGUGAUCUUCAUCACCAAUCCGACUUGCCUUGGAUGGUGGUUGGAGACUUCAACGAGGCUAUGUGGAGCUUCGAACACUUCUCUGAAUCACCACAGUCGGCAGGUCAGAUGAUUGGUUUUCGUGAUGUUCUGGAAGUUUGUGGCUUGGGUGAUCUUGGUUUUGCAGGGCUGCCUUACACAUAUGAUAACAAACGAACUGGACGUGCAAACGUCAAGGUCCGCCUUGAUCGGGCGGUGGCAACCAAUGCUUGGCGGGACUUGUUUGAAUAUGCUAAGGUGGAUCACCUGGUGGCACCUAGCUCGGACCAUCUUCCUAUACUGCUUCGGUGCUCGCGAGAGGAACCGAUGCAGGUUGCUGGCAGGAGGUUUCGGCAAUAUGAAGUCAUGUGGGAGAGGGAGCCUUCGCUCCCGGAGGUAAUUAUGAAAACCUGGACAGAUUUGGGUUCUAUGCUCAAUCUUGGUGAUAUAUCCUCUGGCUUGGGUAAUUUGAUGAAGAAGCUGCAGGUUUGGAGCCGGAAAAAAUUCGGUAAUGUCAUAAAAGAGAUUAACAAGUCUCGCUCACGGCUCGAGGAGCUUAUGUCCAUGAAUGCAGAUAGGAAGGAAAUAAGGGAAGCGACGGAUAGCCUCAACGAGCUCCUGUACCGCGAAGAGAUGAUGUGGAUGCAAUGA